This 393-nucleotide ribosomal RNA is filed under the name uncultured bacterium. RNAcentral's name for it is "bacterial SSU rRNA". It matches the Rfam family "Bacterial small subunit ribosomal RNA", at positions 27 to 447 of the family's 1533-position model. The record is from RNAcentral.
GAGCGAACGCUGGCGGCAGGCUUAACACAUGCAAGUCGAACGGGCGUAGCAAUACGUCAGUGGCAGACGGGUGAGUAACGCGUGGGAACGUACCUUUUGGUUCGGAACAACCCAGGGAAACUUGGGCUAAUACCGGAUAAGCCCUUACGGGGAAAGAUUUAUCGCCGAAAGAUCGGCCCGCGUCUGAUUAGCUAGUUGGUGUGGUAACGGCGCACCAAGGCGACGAUCAGUAGCUGGUCUGAGAGGAUGAUCAGCCACAUUGGGACUGGGACACGGCCCAAACUCCUACGGAGGCAGCAGUGGGGAAUUUUGGACAAUGGGCGCAAGCCUGAUCCAGCCAUUCCGCGUGCAGGAUGAAGGCCCUCGGGUUGUAAACUGCUUUUGUACGGAACG